Molecule: ribosomal RNA, 275 nt
Filed under: uncultured prokaryote
Description: partial 16S ribosomal RNA
Rfam family: Bacterial small subunit ribosomal RNA
Source: RNAcentral
UACGUAGGGGGCGAGCGUUGUCCGGAAUGAUUGGGCGUAAAGGGCGCGUAGGCGGCUUUGCAAGUCGGUAGUGGAAGUCCAUUUUUCAAGGAUGGAAGUGCUACAGAAACUGCGGAGCUUGAGUGCAGGAGAGGUUAUCGGAAUUCCCGGUGUAGCGGUGAAAUGCGUAGAGAUCGGGAGGAACACCAGUGGCGAAGGCGGGUAACUGGACUGCAACUGACGCUGAGGCGCGAAAGUGUGGGGAGCAAACAGGAUUAGAUACCCGGGUAGUCCCU